Molecule: unclassified non-coding RNA, 337 nt
Filed under: soil metagenome
Description: partial contains 5.8S ribosomal RNA, internal transcribed spacer 2, and large subunit ribosomal RNA
Rfam family: 5.8S ribosomal RNA (bases 1-120)
Source: RNAcentral
GAUGAAGAACGUAGCGAAAUGCGAUAAGUAGUGUGAAUUGCAGAAUUCAGUGAAUCAUCGAAUCUAUGAACGCACAUUGCGCCCCUUGGUAUUCCAUGGGGCAUGCCUGUUCGAGCGUCAUUUGUACCCUCAAGCUUUGCUUGGUGUUGGGUGUUUGUCCCGCGUUGCGCGUGGACUCGCCUUAAAGCGAUUGGCAGCCGGCAUAUUGGCCUUGGAGCGCAGCACAUUUUGCGCUUCUAGUCAUGAAUGUUGGCGUCCAUUAAGCCUAUACAUUUGCUCUUGACCUCGGAUCAGGUAGGGAUACCCGCUGAACUUAAGCAUAUCAAUAAGCGGAGGA